RNAcentral lists this transfer RNA (65 nucleotides) under Lissodema cursor. RNAcentral describes it as "tRNA-Thr". Lineage: Eukaryota; Metazoa; Arthropoda; Insecta; Coleoptera; Salpingidae. The record is from RNAcentral.
GUUUUAAUAAUUUAAUAAAAAUAUUAGUCUUGUAUACUAAAAAUAAGAAAAUUACUUUUAAAACU